CCACUAUUACAAGAAUAUGAAGAAACCUAUGAAACGGUUCUUCCACUACAUGAAUAGAUUUAUGGAUUGUAAUUUCUAUACAUAAUGUAACCAUAAAUCAUGAAUUAAUCCUCUUGGGAAUACAAAGGGACAUCCAUACUUUUAAUUGUUUCAUAACACUCCCCCUUGGAUGUCCAUUACACAAAGAAUAUGUCUCGUUAAAAC
Molecule: long non-coding RNA, 204 nt
Filed under: Coffea arabica (coffee)
Lineage: Eukaryota; Viridiplantae; Streptophyta; Magnoliopsida; Gentianales; Rubiaceae
Description: long non-coding RNA (CARA_LNC008240)
Source: RNAcentral